Molecule: unclassified non-coding RNA, 313 nt
Filed under: uncultured Actinomycetes bacterium
Lineage: Bacteria; Bacillati; Actinomycetota; Actinomycetes
Description: uncultured actinobacterium contains 16S-23S intergenic spacer region
Source: RNAcentral
UCCGGUUUGUCACCGGCAGUCUCCCAUGAGUCCCCAACUGAAUGCUGGCAACAUAGGACGGGGGUUGCGCUCGUUGCGGGACUUAACCCAACAUCUCUGCCGGAUUUCCGUGCAUGUCAAGCCCAGGUAAGGUUCUUCGCGUUGCAUCGAAUUAAUCCGCAUGCUCCGCCGCUUGUGCGGGCCCCCGUCAAUUCCUUUGAGUUUUAGCCUUGCGGCCGUACUCCCCAGGCGGGGCGCUUAAUGCGUUAGCUACGGCACAGAAUCCGUGGAAGGGAUCCCACACCUAGCGCCCACCGUUUACGGCGUGGACUAC